UAACGCAUUUACCGGAAUGACAGGUUGU
This 28-nucleotide small RNA is filed under the name Bombyx mori (domestic silkworm). RNAcentral's name for it is "ovarian small RNA-18831". Lineage: Eukaryota; Metazoa; Arthropoda; Insecta; Lepidoptera; Bombycidae. The record is from RNAcentral.